UCUCAAAUACAGAUAUGAUCCCAUUGUGCCACUCAGCUGCUACAAAUGAACCAUAACCCAGCUGAAAAUUGCUGGCAGAGGAUUUUCUGUCUUCAGUGAAUUCUCUUCUGACAUAUAUAUAUCAUUCCCAGGCAGUAUAGUUUUAUCUCUUCACUGUGAAAAGGCAUAUCUCAAGAGUAAGAAAGUUCAUGGUAUAGUCUUGCUAUACUCUUUCUCUAGUGAUAUAAAAACCCUACCAAAGUUCUGAAGCAGAAGUAGAAUUGGACCAAGGAACUCAAAAGAGUUGAGACACGCUCAGACCCUUCAUAUCUUUUAUGCCCUGUGUUGAAUCAGUCACAAGACAUCGAAAAACUCUUCACCCACCUGGUUCCUGGGAGACUAAUCAGAGUUGUGUCAUUGGGAUAAUCCUUUUUAUUCUUCAUUUGAAGUUGCCAUUCACUAAAAAGGAGUGAAAAAAGUGUCAUGAAGGGAGCUUUCUAAAUUUCCAGUGAUAAGUAAUUGAUAGCAAUUUAAAAAGACUUGCCAAGGAGACAGUUGGAGCAGCAAGCCCAUCAGUAGAGGAAGGUCUUAGCAUGCACCAUCAUCUACUGUCGUCCUUCUACUUAUCAGUUUGCCAAGUAGCCAGAACAAUUGGACAAGAA
This is a long non-coding RNA of Empidonax traillii (willow flycatcher), 641 nucleotides long. RefSeq lists it as uncharacterized. NCBI's taxonomy places the organism in Eukaryota, Metazoa, Chordata, Aves, Passeriformes, Tyrannidae. The record is from RefSeq and is a predicted model, not a curated record. The transcript has 3 exons.